This 124-nucleotide small nucleolar RNA is filed under the name Ochotona princeps (American pika). Its description in RNAcentral is "Small nucleolar RNA SNORA74 (ENSOPRG00000022978.1)". The record is from RNAcentral. Lineage: Eukaryota; Metazoa; Chordata; Mammalia; Lagomorpha; Ochotonidae.
UUCAGCAGUGGGUAAUGACCUAGGUUGCAUUAUACCUAGGCAAGUGUUACAUUGCUGGGAGAAAAGCAGGUAACACCUGGCGGGCAUCCUGGGCCUGGUUAAUGCCAAAUCUGUGUUAAACAUA